GAACGCUGGCGGCGUGCCUAAUACAUGCAAGUCGAGCGAACAGACGAGGAGCUUGCUCCUCUGACGUUAGCGGCGGACGGGUGAGUAACACGUGGAUAACCUACCUAUAAGACUGGGAUAACUUCGGGAAACCGGAGCUAAUACCGGAUAAUAUAUUGAACCGCAUGGUUCAAUAGUGAAAGACGGUUUUGCUGUCACUUAUAGAUGGAUCCGCGCCGCAUUAGCUAGUUGGUAAGGUAACGGCUUACCAAGGCGACGAUGCGUAGCCGACUGAGAGGGUGAUCGGCCACACUGGAACUGAGACACGGUCCAGACUCCUACGGGAGGCAGCAGUAGGGAAUCUUCCGCAAUGGGCGAAAGCCUGACGGAGCAACGCCGCGUGAGUGAUGAAGGUCUUCGGAUCGUAAAACUCUGUUAUUAGGGAAGAACAAAUGUGUAAGUAACUAUGCACGUCUUGACGGUACCUAAUCAGAAAGCCACGGCUAACUACGUG
This 493-nucleotide ribosomal RNA is filed under the name uncultured bacterium. Its description in RNAcentral is "partial 16S ribosomal RNA". It matches the Rfam family "Bacterial small subunit ribosomal RNA", at positions 31 to 507 of the family's 1533-position model. The record is from RNAcentral.